RNAcentral lists this ribosomal RNA (359 nucleotides) under Aroramyces sp. OSC122590. RNAcentral describes it as "SSU rRNA". It matches the Rfam family "Bacterial small subunit ribosomal RNA", at positions 557 to 962 of the family's 1533-position model. Lineage: Eukaryota; Fungi; Basidiomycota; Agaricomycetes; Hysterangiales; Hysterangiaceae. The record is from RNAcentral.
GGCGUAAGGGUUUGUAGGCAGCUUUAACAUAAUUAAAGAUUGAAUCAAAUAGAGGUCAAGAGAAUUCCUAGAUUAGGGUUGAUAUCUGUAUAGACUAGGAAGAAUUCUAAUUAGCGAAGGCACUUUUCUAUCUAAUGAUUGACGCUGAGAAACGAAGGGGAGGACCGACAAUAGGAUUAGAGACCCUGGCAUCCCUCUCUGUCAACUAUGAAUGGUAGUUGCUAGUAAUAAUAAUUAGUAACGAGGCUAACGCGUUAACCAUUCCGCCUUGUGAGUACGACUGCAAAGUUGAAAACAAAAAAAUUAGUCGGUUUCGGAGCAAACGAAGUGAAGCAUGUUAUUUAAUUCGAUAAUCCCGC